UCAGGCUGCCCAUGGAGGGGCUGGGGCAGGAUGUGAGGAUGCACGUGCCGGAUGGAGCCCAGGGAGGAUGGGAUGGAGGAGCUGGAGGGAUUCAGGGCAUAUGCGUAAAUGAUCUGGCAAUAAACAGAAAAUACAAGAGGUCUGUAAGCUUGAGUGCAGUAAAGCAGGAGUGUGAAUCCAAAAGAUGUGAUAGGCCUUGAGCAGAGUCCCAAAUCCCCCUGUUCUGCUGAAAAUGUGCACUUGGUGGUGAUGAGGACACCAGUAGCCUCUCUGCAUUUGGCUACAUCCCAACAUGAUUGAUGCUGAUUCCAGUCACAUUCAGCAUUUUGCAGGAAGUUGGAAGGAUUUGAAACUCAUCCAGGGAUUUGAAACUUCAGCAGUUUCUCUUCCUCUGAAAUACUUGAACCAGGCAAAGGAAAUUUUCAGGCUGCAUUAUGACCUUAAUUCCUCCUUUUUGCCCAUUAUCUCCUCAUUAUUGACCUAUAAUAAAUAUGAGUCCUUCAAGGACUUUUUUUCUCCCCAAAUCUCUUUAAGAAUGAAUGCUAGCAAUGUUGAAUCAAGGGCAUGGUGUCAAAUGGAAUAGUUUCAGGAUAAGCAGAGUUUUCUUUGAAUCUUGUUUAGAUGGGUGUAAUUUAAAAAAAAAAAAAAAGGCAAAGCUGGAGUUUAUAUCUAAGAGUGAGCUGCAAGUUCCCAUCAGUUAUUAACUCUUCUUUUCCCCCUAUGUAUCUUAUAGCAAAGCUAACCAUAACAGUAUUGUAUAAUUUCCUGUGUAAUAUGUAGUGUGAUAAAUUAGACUACACAAGUGGCUAUGUAUGACCAGCAGCAGCAAAGAAGUUAU
Molecule: non-coding RNA, 838 nt
Organism: Cyanistes caeruleus (blue tit)
Lineage: Eukaryota; Metazoa; Chordata; Aves; Passeriformes; Paridae
Source: RefSeq, a predicted model, not a curated record